CCUACGGGUGGCAGCAGUGAGGAAUAUUGGUCAAUGGCCGGGAGCCUGAACCAGCCAAGUCGCGUGAGGGAUGACGGCCCUACGGGUUGUAAACCUCUUUUGUCAGGGAAUAAAGUGCGGGACGGGUGCCUUUUUGAGUGUACUUUAUGAAUAAGCAUCGGCUAACUCCGUGCCAGCAGCCGCGGUAAUACGGAGGAUUCGAGCGUUAUCCGGAUUUAUUGGGUUUAAAGGGAGCGUAGGUGGGAGGUUAAGUCAGUCGUGAAAGUUGGGGGCUCAACCCCAGAAUCGCAAUUGAUCCUGGCAGCCUUGAGUACGGGAGGGGUAGGCGGAAUGCGUGGUGUAGCGGUGAAAUGCUUAGAUAUCACGCAGAACUCCGAUCGCGAAGGCAGCCUACCAGCGCGCCACUGACACUGAUGCACGAAAGCGUGGGUAUCGAACAGGAUUAGAUACCCUUGUAGUC
This 460-nucleotide ribosomal RNA is filed under the name uncultured bacterium. RNAcentral describes it as "partial 16S ribosomal RNA". It matches the Rfam family "Bacterial small subunit ribosomal RNA", at positions 338 to 795 of the family's 1533-position model. The record is from RNAcentral.